RNAcentral lists this ribosomal RNA (374 nucleotides) under uncultured bacterium. RNAcentral's name for it is "bacterial SSU rRNA". It matches the Rfam family "Bacterial small subunit ribosomal RNA", at positions 524 to 898 of the family's 1533-position model. The record is from RNAcentral.
UACGUAGGGUGCAAGCGUUAAUCGGAAUUACUGGGCGUAAAGCGUGCGCAGGCGGUUCGGAAAGAAAGAUGUGAAAUCCCAGGGCUUAACCUUGGAACUGCAUUUUUAACUACCGGGCUAGAGUGUGUCAGAGGGGGGUGGAAUUCCGCGUGUAGCAGUGAAAUGCGUAGAUAUGCGGAGGAACACCGAUGGCGAAGGCAGCCCCCUGGGAUAACACUGACGCUCAUGCACGAAAGCGUGGGGAGCAAACAGGAUUAGAUACCCUGGUAGUCCACGCCCUAAACGAUGUCAACUAGCUGUUGGGGCCUUCGGGCCUUGGUAGCGCAGCUAACGCGUGAAGUUGACCGCCUGGGGAGUACGGUCGCAAGAUUAAA